CAAAGACCAGUGUUACAGACCUGGUCUCUGCCUGUAGUGCUGCAGGGAGAUAAUGCACCCACUAGGAGAUGGGUCCUGAUGGGGAUAUAAGAGCCCCAGCUCUUUCUCUUCUUCUGAUCCUGCUUUCAAGCCGCAUGAGGAGAAUGUCUACCUCUACCACACACUCCAUCACAACAUGCUGCCUUACUGAGGCCCAGAAACUAAGGAGCAGCUGACUGAGGAAGGACGCCUCCAAAACAUUGAAAUAAUUGUUAUUAAGAUCUCAGCAGCAUGAGAAACUUUGGGCUGCAGCACAGAAAAUGAGAAAGGGAGUCUACUCCAGAGCCGCCUGUCUUCAGAACCUCAAGCCUGCUGUGCUGGGAGAGGGAUGUGUUUGAUUCAUCCGGAAGGCACUGCCAGCUUGGACCAGCAGAACUGAAGUAUAAAAUGCCAGGAUGGAAAUAAGGAAGUUGGUUGGAUACCUGCUUCCUAUGAGGAACUAUUCCAGUAUGAAGGCAGCAAUCGUGUUACCUCUUCCCAACCAACAACCAGUGCUAGGAGGGACCAGGCUGGUUCACGAGCACACCUGCUGAAGGAGCCAUGCUGACUGACGGCUGAAGACAGCCUGUGGCUGCUAAUGCACAGCGUCUCCACACGGACAAAAGGUAAAGGCUUCUUCUGUCUACUGUGUACAAGGCAGCAGUAUCACAGUACGAAUCCUACAUUGGUCCAUGGACACAGAAUUCGGUGAGCACAGUCAGCAGAGGGAAAAGUGCACCUUUCAUGCCAAACUGCGCUGGACCCACUCUUUCCAGAAUUGUUACAGAACAGAACACGGUGGCAGGGCAGUUCUCUACCUGAGCAGAGUCAUCUGUGAAAAUCAAGACGUCCUUCCCAGCCUUUACAGUAUGAGCAAAGUCUGCCUCUAAUUACUGUGCCCAGGCCUUUACUCCUUAGUGUCAUCUUGUCCACAGCAUGUGACUGCCAUGUGUUGCCAGGCACUCCUCCCCCGCCCCUGUGCGGAGCCCCUUCCUGAGUGCUAAUUUUAAAAACUUGCCCAGCUUUCCAAUAUGCCUCUAUAUAGUCUGUUUUCAGGAACUAUUUCUGUUCUUGCUUCACACCAUGCCUGGCAGGAUGAAGAGCUGUCUCCUGGUCCCCACUGGUAGAGUGCUGGUCUGCUUUCCUAACUUCCAACUUAACUCUCGCACAAAGUUCUCUCUGCACAUACCCUUUUAAUCCAUUAUCCUUCCUUUACUCCAGAAAGGGGCAAAAAAUACUCGGCAGUGUUGCCAAAUCCUUACUCUGACAGGCAUACCUGGCGACUUAAAAUAGUUGCCGUUUUGAAAAUUGUUUCUGCGGCUAAGCAAAGAGAAGAUGAAGAAGAGAGGGGGAGAGCAACAUUGCCCUUCGUGAAUGGGGAUGGGUUAGAGAAGGGAGAGGCUGUGGGGGAUGAGUCAAGAUGAGACGUACUAGGAGGACCUUCCCAAUUAUCUCGCAGAGCAGAGGGAUCACUAUGCCAGACAGUUCCCACAGGACCCAGUGCUUCUGGCCAGGUUGAUACAAGAUUAAAAAAUGAUUAUGAUGAUGUAAGAGUUUCGUCUUACACAUCCAUGAACUACAACUGUUUACUAACACACACUGGUUGUGGGGAUGGACUCCACACAGACAAUUUAUAAACUGUCCAAAUCCACUCUCAUGUUUAGACACAGCGUUUCCAACUGCCCAGAACUGCCCCAUUUCUAACUGCACUGUUUAAAAUGCAAAAGGGACAGAAACUAGAAAUGCUUCAUAAAUCGCCUGACAAAGUGGCAUUCGCUAUUUCCUACAGGAUAAGAGAAAACCGAACACUAUAGGUAUCUAAGGUCAUUGUCUAACACUACCCAUGCUCAGGGUGGCAUCUAUCUCUCACAGAACACUCCUGCUAUUUUACACAGGAUGCAGGACCUCUACAAGGGACAGGGAGGACAAAGCCGGUACUAGGGACCAGCUCACCAGGUCUUAAUGCCUCAGACCAGAGAGCAGUUGCUCCACAGGGGCUACGAUGACUCCAGGCAAGUUUCCCACAUCCUUCCUAUGCUAUGGGGCUAUUGACUGAAGUCCUGAGAAAACCUUUGCGGCAACACCCUGACAUUGAACUCUACAGUCAGAUCUCUGAAAAGGGCAACGCAUAGUUGGGCUGGGGGUGGGGUAGUAAGGGAACUUUUCAAAGGGCUCGGCUUCUUUGUCUAUAACUUCAUUUCUUUAACUGGCUUUAAUCGGUUCAAGGCACGUGUGGGAAGGCUGAGGUCUGCCAGAAAGAACAUCUGAGAAUAGAACACUAUUUUUCAUGGAUAGUUAGUUGUUCGUGGGAGACAACAGGGGCAGGUGGUCCGCGGAAAGAACAUAGCUAUGGCCUGGCUCUAAGGAGCAGACAUAGAAGAGGGACCGAGUCCUCCAGGGCCGUUGCUGAGCCAUCAGUGAGUCUAACACCUAGCAAGAUCGAGGAAAGGAUUUGAACCUUUUGGGGGAGGGGCGCCCUUUCCAUAUGUGCACCGGGACAGGAGUUUGGGUGGAAAUUAGAAAAGGCUAUAUCGGUCCCUUGGAAGCGGAUGCAGCGUCACGGGCACCGCAGAGGGCGGCAAACAGUCUUGGCUUCACAUCCAAGUAAGAGCAUCUCCUUUGGGGGACAGCAGGGAGCCCAGUCAAUGCGGGAUUGUGAGUACACAGGCUAGCAUUUCGGGCUCCUCAGCUGGGUAAGCUCGGACCUAGAUCUGCAGAGAAAGAGAAAUGGAGCGCAGAGCAGAGGCAACCGUGGUCGGAAGAAAAGGGUUCACGAGAAGAACGCGGGGACGCAGCGGUCGUGGCCCUUACCUUGCUGACCACGUUCUGGACGAGGCCAGUGCGGAUGCCGUAGUCCCAAGCGUGGCAGUCGCAAUUUGAAUCGUUGUUCCCCUUGCCUGGAGGGGACGGGAGGGGUGGUGUGUCGCUGUUGUUGCUUCGGUUGCUCGCGGUCCCCCAGGUAGCAGUGGAGAAAGGGGUGACCGGGGGGCUGGUCCAAUUGCCCAUGUCGCCCCACCGGCCGGUGACAGUGGCACCCGCUAGUUCGGUGCCUUUGCCGGCCCCGCGGCACCAGAAGUUGGGCUGGUCCAGGAGGAA
This is a non-coding RNA of Myodes glareolus (Bank vole), 3114 nucleotides long. NCBI's taxonomy places the organism in Eukaryota, Metazoa, Chordata, Mammalia, Rodentia, Cricetidae. The record is from RefSeq and is a predicted model, not a curated record.